CCUACGGGUGGCAGCAGUGAGGAAUAUUGGUCAAUGGACGGAAGUCUGAACCAGCCAUGCCGCGUGCAGGAAGACGGCUCUAUGAGUUGUAAACUGCUUUUGUACAAGGGUAAACCUGAAUACGUGUAUUCAGCUGAAAGUACUGUACGAAUAAGGAUCGGCUAACUCCGUUCCAGCAGCCGCGGUAAUACGGAGGAUCCAAGCGUUAUCCGGAUUUCUUGGGUUUAAAGGGUGCGGAGGCGGAUUGAUAAGUUAGAGGUGAAAUGUCCGAGCUUAACUCGGGAACUGCCUCUAAUACUGUUGAUCUAGAGAGUAGAUGCGGUAGGCGGAAUGUAUGGUGUAGCGGGGAAAUGCUUAGAGAUCAUACAGAACACCGAUUGCGAAGGCAGCUUACCAAUCUAUAUCUGACGUUGAGGCACGAAAGCGUGGGGAGCAAACAGGAUUAGAUACCCGGGUAGUC
Molecule: ribosomal RNA, 460 nt
Filed under: uncultured bacterium
Lineage: Bacteria
Description: partial 16S ribosomal RNA
Rfam family: Bacterial small subunit ribosomal RNA
Source: RNAcentral